RNAcentral lists this ribosomal RNA (458 nucleotides) under uncultured bacterium. RNAcentral describes it as "bacterial SSU rRNA". It matches the Rfam family "Bacterial small subunit ribosomal RNA", at positions 29 to 506 of the family's 1533-position model. The record is from RNAcentral.
GUGAACGCUGGCGGCGUGCCUAACACAUGCAAGUCGAACGAUGAUAGAGAGCUUGCUCUCUUGAUUAGUGGCGCACGGGUGAGUAUACCAUAGAUAAUGUACCUCUUAGUUCGGGAUAGCCACUGGAAACGGUGAUUAAUACCGGAUACUCCUUCUUACUCUAAGGUAAGUCGGGAAAGUUUUUUCGCUAAGAGAUCAGUCUAUGUCCUAUCAGCUAGUUGGUGAGGUAAUGGCUCACCAAGGCUAUGACGGGUAUCUGGUUUGAGAGGAUGAUCCGACACACUGGAACUGAGACACGGUCCAGACUCCUACGGGAGGCAGCAGUGAGGAAUAUUGCACAAUGGAGGAAACUCUGAUGCAGCAACGCCGCGUGGAGGAUGACGCAUUUCGGUGUGUAAACUCCUUUUAAGAGGGGAGAUAAUGCCGGUACCUCUUGCAUACGCACCGGCUCCCUCCGU